UACGUAGGGAGCGAGCGUUGUCCGGAAUUAUUGGGCGUAAAGAGCUCGUAGGCGGUUCGGCAAGUCACGUGUGAAAUCUCCACGCUCAACGUGGAGGCGCCACGUGAGACUGCUGUGACUCGAGUCCGGUAGGGGAGCGUGGAAUUCCCGGUGUAGCGGUGAAAUGCGCAGAGAUCGGGAGGAACACCCGUAGCGAAGGCGGCGCUCUGGGCCGGUACUGACGCUGAGGAGCGAAAGCGUGGGGAGCAAACAGG
RNAcentral lists this ribosomal RNA (254 nucleotides) under uncultured bacterium. RNAcentral describes it as "partial 16S ribosomal RNA". It matches the Rfam family "Bacterial small subunit ribosomal RNA", at positions 524 to 776 of the family's 1533-position model. The record is from RNAcentral.